This 368-nucleotide long non-coding RNA is filed under the name Nicotiana benthamiana. RNAcentral's name for it is "long non-coding RNA (NBEN_LNC036314)". The record is from RNAcentral. Lineage: Eukaryota; Viridiplantae; Streptophyta; Magnoliopsida; Solanales; Solanaceae.
CUCAGUGAAGGAAAGGAACAACAAAAACAAAACCAAAGAACAUUAGUACUUCAACGGAAAUAGCGUAAAUAAUUAUCUAAACAUAAGAACCAUAAAUAAAAUAGUAUGUAAUAAUAAUAAUAAACAGUAUCAACCACAAAUAACUACCAUAAGAGGGAUACCAUAAAAGGGGGGAGACACAACCCAAUACACAAAUCGUCUAUGGAUAGCCAAGUAAGGCUCACCCAACCCCGAGUGAGGAGUACCAAUACUCUAGGAGCCCCUAUCCUAUAACCCUAAUACUAGACCUCCAGACUUUCCUAUCGAGGGCCAUGUCCUUAGAAACCCGCAUUCUAGCCAUGUCAUGCCUAAUCACCUCUCCCCAAUAC